GCCUGAAUCGUCUAGUGGCCUAGGAUGCAAGCCUGUCACGCUUGUGACGCGGGUUCAAAUCCCGCUUCAGGCG
This 73-nucleotide transfer RNA is filed under the name Candidatus Aenigmatarchaeota archaeon. RNAcentral describes it as "tRNA-Asp". It matches the Rfam family "tRNA". Rfam says of the family: Transfer RNA (tRNA) molecules are approximately 80 nucleotides in length. Their secondary structure includes four short double-helical elements and three loops (D, anti-codon, and T loops). The record is from RNAcentral. Lineage: Archaea; Nanobdellati; Candidatus Aenigmatarchaeota.